UCUUGAUUCUAUAAGAGGUCCAGCCUGCCCAGUGACCUAGUUCAACGGCCGCGGUAUCCUAACCGUGCAAAGGUAGCGUAAUCACUUGUCUUCUAAAUAAAGACUAGUAUGAAAGGCACCACGAGAACUAAACUGUCUCCCUUUUCCAAUCAGUGAACCUAAUAUUCCCGUGAAGAAGCGGGGAUUUUAAAAUAAGACGAGAAGACCCUAUGGAGCUUUAAACAUCAUAAUCACCUGCCCGUAAAACCAAAAUACUCAGGUUACCUCACCAAAAACCACGAUGAUUAUAUGUUUUUGGUUGGGGUGACCGCGGAGAAAAACUUAUCCCCCGCGAUGAAAACCCACCAAACAACAAGCCACAGCUUUAUGUAUCAACAAAUUGACACUAUUGACCCAAUAUAUUGAUCAACGAACCAAGUUACCCUAGGGAUAACAGCGCAAUCCACUUCAAGAGCCCCUAUCGACAAGUGGGCUUACGACCUCGAUGUUGGAUCAGGGUAUCCUAGUGGUGCAGCCGCUACUAAGGGC
This 528-nucleotide ribosomal RNA is filed under the name Pristimantis citriogaster (throated robber frog). Its description in RNAcentral is "partial large subunit ribosomal RNA". It matches the Rfam family "Bacterial large subunit ribosomal RNA", at positions 1835 to 2572 of the family's 2925-position model. Lineage: Eukaryota; Metazoa; Chordata; Amphibia; Anura; Strabomantidae. The record is from RNAcentral.